Molecule: non-coding RNA, 329 nt
Organism: Pelobates cultripes (western spadefoot toad)
Lineage: Eukaryota; Metazoa; Chordata; Amphibia; Anura; Pelobatidae
Source: the annotation of a GenBank genome assembly
AACUAUCGUGUUACUACUUGAUGUGUAACCAGGCAGCCGCUCCAGCGAGCAACCCGCUAACAGUUCAGGUACGCCCAGCCCAGAUGCGGCCACCAGACAACCACAUUACGCUAGCUCCCGAGGGGAGAAGAACCCAGACUCCCUGCAGGAGGCCAGUACACAAGGAUAAGGGGUCGGUACAAAACACAUGGGAUACGGGCGAGCAACACAACACACGCACCGCAAAACUAAAACUAAGUUACCCACCAGACGCGGGAUCAACCACACACGUAGUGAUACUACGCCCAGCACUCCAGCCUACACUUGUGACUCCGAGAGAGGUAGCAAAC